AACAAUUUGAAUAAGUUAUUGUUAUUUAUUUAACAAAAUUGUUAAAAUGUUACUAUUUAUUUAUUCUAUCUACUUAUUUGUAGAUCAUUAUGUUUAAUGUAUGCAUGUGGAAUAAGUUAUUUCUUUUAUACCUUGCCUAUGAUAGUAGAUGAGCAUUAUAUUUUCUGGUUUGUGUAUCUGAAAGUCUGUAUCAGGUUCAAGUUUUGGUUAAGGUUAGUUUGUGGUCAUAGAUGCCAAAUUAUUAAGAUUAUGACAAAGUUUUCACAGUUCACUGCAUAUAGAAAUGUGGUAAAUUUAAAUUUCAAUUUAAGCGAUAAGUUUUGAUUUUAGGUUUGUUUGUGGUCAUAUUAACUUGAAACUUAGUACAUAUAAAUGUUAUUAAGGGAACUGUUUAAUAUAUAUAUCUGAGAGUACACAUUAGGGUUUAGAACAAUAUUCCAUGUUGCAAUAAUAUGGAAAUGUCAAAAUGGCAAUCAUGCAUGCCAUGGUAUUUUCCUUUAUUACUGUCAAAUAUUUCUAAAACUGAAUCAUUGCUGAUUUGGUAAUAUAGUACAAAGUAGGGAUAUACUCAGUUUUCUGCAGUUCAAAACUCAAAAUCUAGGACAUACUUUUAAAAAUAAAUUACUUCUUGUCCACAUCUAAAUGUGAAAGGUCGGAUACUAAAUCUUUAUUUCAAUUUUGGUCAGCUUUGUUUAUCUGAAUUAAAGAAACAUAUUCAAUAACAGAUUUUUCUUUAGUAUUUUAUGCUAUUUCACUGUUAUUGUAUGUGUCAAUAUAUAUUGCAUGGAAAUUGUAAAAGUCAUUUACAUCCGAUGUUACUGAAUUUAUAAACGCAUGACUAUUAACAUUAUUAACUUUAUUAAAUGUAAAUAUAUUUGUCAGUAUGUAAGUUGUAAGAUUUCACACUAGGCUACAUGUUACAAUACAAUCAAUGCUAAAUACUUAAUCAGAAUAAUCACCUCAAACAAAUAUUGGAAAUACAAUGAAAAUGAAUACCUGAUAGUCAUAAUAUGUAAUCACAUAUUGGUAAUACAUGUAUAAUGCAAAUAGUAAUGACUCAAAAACGGAAAGGUUAAAAAUGUGAAUUAUUUUCUGUUUAAAUAUACAGUUUAUAAGCAUUUUGUGAUGUUCAAUUAAUGUAUUAAACUUGCUAUAGAUAUUAAAAAGCCAGGUGCAAUAGUAACUGAAAUUAUGCAAUCUACUCAGCAUUAAACAUUUAGAUGAAGCACAAGUAAUAUGAAUUUAUCAAAAAUGUAUGACAGUCAAGUUUAUAAAAAAUAACAUGAAAAUCCUUGUUAACAAGUGAUGAAUUAAAGAUAAAUUUGUCAAAUAUAUUUGUACAGAGUCAAUCAAAAGGACGUUAAUUUUGACCUUUAUAACUAUGUAUUUGUUAUUAUGAAUUAAAACUGUUAACAAAUGGAAUGCAUUGCAAUCUUUAAUGAGUAAGUGGUUGGUGAUCAAUAAAUGAAUUCACUCA
RNAcentral lists this long non-coding RNA (1477 nucleotides) under Mytilus galloprovincialis (Mediterranean mussel). The record is from RNAcentral. Lineage: Eukaryota; Metazoa; Mollusca; Bivalvia; Mytilida; Mytilidae.